AACGUAGGAGACAAACGUUAUCCGGAGUUACUGGGCGUAAAGCGUGCGCAGGCGGUUGUGCAAGACCGAUGUGAAAUCCCCGGGCUUAACCUGGGAAUGGCAUUGGUGACUGCACGGCUAGAGUGUGUCAGAGGGGGGUAGAAUUCCACGUGUAGCAGUGAAAUGCGUAGAUAUGCGGAGGAACACCGAUGGCGAAGGCAAUCCCCUGGGCCUGCACUGACGCUCAUGCACGAAAGCGUGGGGAGCAAACAGG
RNAcentral lists this ribosomal RNA (253 nucleotides) under uncultured bacterium. RNAcentral describes it as "partial 16S ribosomal RNA". It matches the Rfam family "Bacterial small subunit ribosomal RNA", at positions 524 to 776 of the family's 1533-position model. The record is from RNAcentral.